AAAGGCUCAUCGAAUAACCUUUGUUACUAUCUGGUGAAUUUGUUAUAAUUUUCUUGAGCCAAUGGUCUUUGGGGAACAAUCUCUUUAUCUCUGCAAGAUAAGGGUAAGGUUUGAGUACACUUCACACUCCCCAAGUUCCACAAUGUAGGAUUACACUGGGUAUGUUGUUGUUUUCCAAAGGUUUUAGGCCGUGCUCUAUGGCUAACUUUAGUCCAUGCUAAAGUGCCAGUAAUUCAGCUUGUGUAUGAUUUGGUGCGGGCAGACUACUGUGAUAGCUCUAGGCUCCUCUGUUAUUCCUGAUUACUCCGCCAUUGCCUCCUUUGAUUACUCAGAACAUUAAGAUGGAUUGUCUCUCCUUAUUUUAUUUUUGGUGUAAACAAAAUAUUUUGAUGUAGGAGACCUGAUCGAUAUAAUAGGUAGCUUGUAAAUAACUGUUCCAUCAGGUGUUCUUCUUUUGCUCUUAAUGAGUUGUAC
Molecule: long non-coding RNA, 474 nt
Filed under: Nicotiana benthamiana
Lineage: Eukaryota; Viridiplantae; Streptophyta; Magnoliopsida; Solanales; Solanaceae
Description: long non-coding RNA (NBEN_LNC036806)
Source: RNAcentral